This 778-nucleotide long non-coding RNA is filed under the name Sus scrofa (pig). RNAcentral's name for it is "lncRNA (ENSSSCG00055017020.1, ENSSSCG00065034961.1, ENSSSCG00070013402.1)". The record is from RNAcentral. Lineage: Eukaryota; Metazoa; Chordata; Mammalia; Artiodactyla; Suidae.
AGCUUGGACCAGGUUGCAGCAUUUAACGGACUUUUCUAGGUUUCCAGAGUAAUAGACUGAUGUCUACAGUGAGGGAUGCACAGCUCGUUCCUCUCACACCCUCGGGUGUCCGCCCCUCGCAAAGACUCGGGAUUGGAACCUACGAAGGCUUCCCAAAUGCUGACCCAGCCCUGCACCAAGCCGGCCCUGCACCAAGCCGGCUGCCAGAACCUCCCAGGAGCCGGUUUCGAUAGAGAGGCGUCGCUGUGCCGCAGAAGAACCAGCACAGUUUUGGGACCGCUCAGGGCUCAGAUCCUGGUAAAGACACGCGCAGGUGGAAUUCCUCUUUUCUGGACUGAGUGGCAAAGAAAUCACUUCCAGAGAGCCUGAAAAAAUGAGCUUUUUUCAGAAUGUUUGAAUGUGUCUUUAAAAUUCAGCAUCAUGAUUUACAAAGAGGCAGACUCCGACCGCAUGGUGUCUUGGCUCCUACACCCCACAGUGGCUCUAAGAAUGAACCAGUGCAAUGUACCGGACCCCGAGUGACCCCGACUCUGGCUCACGGCUUCCUCGUGUGUCAGCAUCUCUCCCACUCCUCGGCCUCCGUCCUCCACUGUCGUUUGUGCCGUGGGCUGCUUCUGAGACUGAAAAGUGAGGAGGCAGAGUUCCCGUGUAGCUCAGUGGGUUAAGGACCAGGCGUUGUCACUGCUCUGGUGUGUUUGAUCCCUGGCCUGGGAACUUCACCAUUCUGCGGGUAUGGCGAAAAAAUAAAAUAAGGAAAAGCAAGAAGAUGUAAAGAUAC